GCGGGUAUAGUUUAGUGGUAAAACCAAGCUAACGAUGCGGGUUCGAUUCCCGCUACCUGC
This 60-nucleotide transfer RNA is filed under the name Chamaegastrodia inverta. Its description in RNAcentral is "tRNA-Gly". It matches the Rfam family "tRNA". From Rfam's summary of the family: Transfer RNA (tRNA) molecules are approximately 80 nucleotides in length. Their secondary structure includes four short double-helical elements and three loops (D, anti-codon, and T loops). Further hydrogen bonds mediate the characteristic L-shaped molecular structure. tRNAs have two regions of fundamental functional importance: the anti-codon, which is responsible for specific mRNA codon recognition, and the 3' end, to which the tRNAs corresponding amino acid is attached (by aminoacyl-tRNA synthetases). tRNAs cope with the degeneracy of the genetic code in two manners: having more than one tRNA (with a specific anti-codon) for a particular amino acid; and 'wobble' base-pairing, i.e. permitting non-standard base-pairing at the 3rd anti-codon position. The record is from RNAcentral. Lineage: Eukaryota; Viridiplantae; Streptophyta; Magnoliopsida; Asparagales; Orchidaceae.